Molecule: ribosomal RNA, 103 nt
Filed under: uncultured bacterium
Lineage: Bacteria
Description: partial 16S ribosomal RNA
Rfam family: Bacterial small subunit ribosomal RNA
Source: RNAcentral
CUUGUACACACCGCCCGUCACACCAUGGGAGUUGGUUCUACCUUAAGUCGUCCAGCUAACCGCAAGGAGGCAGACGCCCACGGUAGGGUCAAUGACUGGGGUG